Molecule: ribosomal RNA, 497 nt
Filed under: uncultured bacterium
Lineage: Bacteria
Description: partial 16S ribosomal RNA
Rfam family: Bacterial small subunit ribosomal RNA
Source: RNAcentral
GAUGAACGCUGGCGGCGUGCCUAAUACAUGCAAGUCGAGCGAACAGACGAGAAGCUUGCUCCUCUGAUGUUAGCGGCGGACGGGUGAGUAACACGUGGAUAACCUACCUAUAAGACUGGGAUAACUUCGGGAAACCGGAGCUAAUACCGGAUAAUAUAUUGAACCGCAUGGUUCAAUAGUGAAAGACGGUCUUGCUGUCACUUAUAGAUGGAUCCGCGCUGCAUUAGCUAGUUGGUAAGGUAACGGCUUACCAAGGCAACGAUGCGUAGCCGACCUGAGAGGGUGAUCGGCCACACUGGAACUGAGACACGGUCCAGACUCCUACGGGAGGCAGCAGUAGGGAAUCUUCCGCAAUGGGCGAAAGCCUGACGGAGCAACGCCGCGUGAGUGAUGAAGGUCUUCGGAUCGUAAAACUCUGUUAUUAGGGAAGAACAAAUGUGUAAGUAACUGUGCACAUCUUGACGGUACCUAAUCAGAAAGCCACGGCUAACUACGUG